Molecule: signal recognition particle RNA, 267 nt
Filed under: Candidatus Cloacimonadota bacterium
Lineage: Bacteria; Pseudomonadati; Candidatus Cloacimonadota
Description: Candidatus Cloacimonetes bacterium signal recognition particle sRNA large type
Rfam family: Bacterial large signal recognition particle RNA
About the family: The signal recognition particle (SRP) is a universally conserved ribonucleoprotein involved in the co-translational targeting of proteins to membranes. Archaeal SRP consists of a 7S RNA and homologues of the eukaryotic SRP19 and SRP54 proteins.
Source: RNAcentral
UCGUGCCAGACGGGGAGCCAGCGGUGCCCUGUAACCUGCAAUCCGCUAUAGCAGGGUCAGUUACUGGCAGGCGGUAUAACUCAAAUAGACCAGUUAUUGGAUGUGAAUAAUGUUGAAGGCUGGGCCCAUUAUAGAUAUUUACUUCGAACCCCGUCAGAACCGGAAGGUAGCAGCGGUAAGAAAUCCUAUGUCUGAUAGUGGUUUUCCUGGCUGGAGUUUUUCCUCUUCAUAACCCUAUCUGAAGAGUACCAACUGCCAGGUGCACGA